RNAcentral lists this ribosomal RNA (254 nucleotides) under uncultured bacterium. Its description in RNAcentral is "partial 16S ribosomal RNA". It matches the Rfam family "Bacterial small subunit ribosomal RNA", at positions 74 to 334 of the family's 1533-position model. The record is from RNAcentral.
CAAACCAAAGCUGGCGACCGGCGCACGGGUGAGUAACACGUAUCCAACCUGCCUCAUACUCGGGGAUAGCCUUUCGGAAGAAAGAUUAAUAUCCGAUAGCAUAUAUUUCCCGCAUGGGUUUUAUAUUAAAGAAAUUCGGUAUGAGAUGGGGAUGCGUUCCAUUAGUUUGUUGGGGGGUAACGGCCCACCAAGACUACGAUGGAUAGGGGUUCUGAGAGGAAGGUCCCCCACAUUGGAACUGAGACACGGUCCAA